RNAcentral lists this long non-coding RNA (236 nucleotides) under Mytilus galloprovincialis (Mediterranean mussel). The record is from RNAcentral. Lineage: Eukaryota; Metazoa; Mollusca; Bivalvia; Mytilida; Mytilidae.
UUUUUCAGAAAUUAAAACAGGAAGGUGGAAGGAUCUCAUGUUUACUAGAAGUGGUGCGGUCGGAUGAAAACAGCAAACAGAAAGUAGAAAAAUGGAGUUUUGACAUUGAGGUUGAAUAACUUUUUAUUCUUCGUGGCAAGGUGCCAUUUUUUUGGCAUGAAAUCAUAGUAUAACAUUACUAAAUGCAUGAUAUGUAGACUAAAUAUUUUUUCUAUGUAGCAUUUUUGAAUAAAAAA